RNAcentral lists this ribosomal RNA (692 nucleotides) under uncultured bacterium. Its description in RNAcentral is "bacterial SSU rRNA". It matches the Rfam family "Bacterial small subunit ribosomal RNA", at positions 62 to 764 of the family's 1533-position model. The record is from RNAcentral.
UCGAACGGGAAUAGGAUGAAACCUAGUGAUUCCUAUUCUAGUGGCGGACGGGUGAGUAACGCGUGGGUAACCUGCCUUGCACUGGAGGGAUAACACUUAGAAAUAGGUGCUAAUACCGCAUAAGCGCACAGAACCGCAUGGUUCGGUGUGAAAAACUCCGGUGGUGUAAGAUGGACCCGCGUCUGAUUAGCUGGUUGGUGAGGUAACGGCUCACCAAGGCGACGAUCAGUAGCCGGCCUGAGAGGGUGAACGGCCACAUUGGGACUGAGACACGGCCCAAACUCCUACGGGAGGCAGCAGUGGGGAAUAUUGCACAAUGGGGGAAACCCUGAUGCAGCAACGCCGCGUGAGUGAAGAAGUCAUUCGUGAUGUAAAGCUCUAUCAGCAGGGAAGAAAAUGACGGUACCUGACUAAGAAGCCCCGGCUAACUACGUGCCAGCAGCCGCGGUAAUACGUAGGGGGCAAGCGUUAUCCGGAUUUACUGGGUGUAAAGGGAGCGUAGACGGCGACGCAAGUCUGAAGUGAAAUGCCAGUGCUCAACACUGGAACUGCUUUGGAAACUGUGUAGCUAGAGUGCAGGAGAGGUAAGUGGAAUUCCUAGUGUAGCGGUGAAAUGCGUAGAUAUUAGGAAGAACACCAGUGGCGAAGGCGGCUUACUGGACUGUAACUGACGUUGAGGCUCGAAGGCGUGG